UACAGAGGUCUCAAGCGUUGUUCGGAUUCAUUGGGCGUAAAGGGUGCGUAGGCGGCGCGGUAAGUCGGGUGUGAAAUCUCGGGGCUUAACUCCGAAACUGCAUUCGAUACUGCCGUGCUUGAGGACUGGAGAGGAGACUGGAAUUUACGGUGUAGCGGUGAAAUGCGUAGAUAUCGGGAGGAACACCAAUUGCGAAGGCAGCUCGCUGGGACGUUACUGACGCUGAGACGCGAAAGCGUGGGGAGCAAACAGG
This 253-nucleotide ribosomal RNA is filed under the name uncultured bacterium. RNAcentral describes it as "partial 16S ribosomal RNA". It matches the Rfam family "Bacterial small subunit ribosomal RNA", at positions 524 to 776 of the family's 1533-position model. The record is from RNAcentral.